GUGGGGAAUAUUGCACAAUGGGCGCAAGCCUGAUGCAGCAACGCCGCGUGAGGGACGACGGCCUUCGGGUUGUAAACCUCUUUUAGCAGGGAAGAAGCGAAAGUGACGGUACCUGCAGAAGAAGGACCGGCCAACUACGUGCCAGCAGCCGCGGUAAUACGUAGGGUCCGAGCGUUGUCCGGAAUUAUUGGGCGUAAAGGGCUCGUAGGCGGUCUGUCGCGUCGGGAGUGAAAACUCAGGGCUCAACCCUGAGCGUGCUUCCGAUACGGGCAGACUAGAGGUAUGCAGGGGAGAACGGAAUUCCUGGUGUAGCGGUGGAAUGCGCAGAUAUCAGGAGGAACACCGGUGGCGAAGGCGGUUCUCUGGGCAUUACCUGACGCUGAGGAGCGAAAGCAUGGGGAGCGAACAGGAUUAGAAACCCGGGUAGUCC
This 430-nucleotide ribosomal RNA is filed under the name uncultured bacterium. RNAcentral describes it as "bacterial SSU rRNA". It matches the Rfam family "Bacterial small subunit ribosomal RNA", at positions 354 to 796 of the family's 1533-position model. The record is from RNAcentral.